AUCCAAAAAAACAAUACAUACACAUUGCAAACAGCUGCGGUAUCAAAGAUAUGCAACUACCAUGAAAAGAUAGUUGACCUAAAACCAGUGUAACGUGGACUAUCUCAUAUCUAAUUACUGCUGGCAUGUAAUGAGUUGCAUGAGUUUGAAAAACUAUAAUUAUUCUUUAAAGGUUCCGAAAAUAUGUGCAGUUCAAAACGUCCUGACUACUAUAUACAACUAGACUAGAAAUACAUGCAUGCAGCAACUCCAUUUUUGAGAUCAGUGAGGAUGACCACCUAUCGUUGGUGACCCACGCCCGCGAUUAUUGAUGAACUUUAGACUUCGCUAAUGCUUUCGUUUCCCCCGUUGUAAAUAGCCGGCGGGAAUUAGUACCCUCGCAUGGCGCUUCGCACCGUCGGCUCGGGGAAAAUAUGUUGGUUUUAUUAAUAACGCAGAGAUGCUUUCGAAUUUAAGUAUUGUCCCUUAUAAUUCUGUACUUAAGUUCCAUAAAAUCGGUGACUAGAUGUGCUUACUUGACUAACAUUUAAUGUAACUCAAACCUUGUGUUUUCCUUCAUAUGGAGCAACCGCCAAUGUGUAGUAAGCGUCCUUGAACCUCUGUGAGGCCCCGGAGUCUACCUGAUCUGAAAUUAACAAAGGAUUUGCUAUAGGAGCUUCCGGGACACCGUAAUAGUCUCCUCCUAGAGCGAUGACGUCACCAAAUGUCAGACGUACUCCAUUUGGAAGGGUAAGGAGAUUCUUUUCACUAGAAUCUAUAUGAAUAAAACAAGAUAUUGGUUAAACUUGUUGGUAAAACAGGUACGAUCGUACUAUAGUGCACCAGGAACUACGUGACCGAGUUCCGAUCUUG
This is a non-coding RNA of Paramuricea clavata, 852 nucleotides long. The record is from the annotation of a GenBank genome assembly. NCBI's taxonomy places the organism in Eukaryota, Metazoa, Cnidaria, Anthozoa, Malacalcyonacea, Plexauridae.